Molecule: long non-coding RNA, 3248 nt
Organism: Hypanus sabinus (Atlantic stingray)
Lineage: Eukaryota; Metazoa; Chordata; Chondrichthyes; Myliobatiformes; Dasyatidae
Exons: 3
Source: RefSeq, a predicted model, not a curated record
GCUUUGUACUCUCAAAAAUUCGCUUACGAAGGCAUCACACUUACUUUUGAAGACAUCUCAAAUUGAACCUUGCCGGAACUACUAGACAGGCAUUCACAGUAGAAAAAAAGAAAUACAAUGGAACCCAUGAAAACUGCACACAAAGACCGACAAUCAAUGUGCUAAAGAAGAGAAACUGUGCAAAUACGAAAAAGACAAAGAAAUCAAAUAACCAUUAUAACAAUAAAUAAGUAAUGCAGAGAGCAUGAAUGGAUGGAAUCAGUUGAGUGUUGGGCUUCUCUGAGUUGGAAGAGAAAGAUAGAAUACCACAUGAUGAUCUUCAAGUACACUGCACCCACUGGGUGGGCUGCAUAAAGACAUUCAGAGAGAUUUCAGGAUCUUCUCUCGAUCUGAAUUCCAGAUUAAUAAAUCUGUUCCUGAACACUUGCAAGGGAGAACUAACAGGAAGGACAAAGGAAGAGCUGAUCUCACUAUAAAAUCACCGAGCUGUAACCAAGGUUCAAAAAAUCAUAUCAAGACUUUUAGCUACAGAAAGAUGUCUCCAAGAGCUGUCCUGCAUGGUGGAAAAGGUCAAGAUGUUCUUUAUUGCCUUUCCAGCAUCAUAUUUAGUGGAGGGCAGUUUCAGUGUGGUCACCCAACUUCUUUCAAAGCAACAAAACAGACUGCAAAUCGCCGAAUAUGGAGGCCUGAGAUUCCUUCUGAGUGGCAUUCACCCUGACGUUGAGAGGCUGGGAUCACUGCACCAAACCCGUCCAUCUCACUGACGGUGAAAAAGCAAUGCACUCUGAACAGUUGGACUUCACUCUCUAAAAUGUUGACAAAUGUUUCUGCUCUAUUUAAAUAAAGAAAUUAGUUUCUUUGUAGCUUUAAAUAGAGAUGAUUAAUUUUUGAAAUUAUUUGUAACUGCUUUGAACUUGCUUGCCCUAUUUUCUUUACCUGAGCACUGUAACUCAAAAUUCUUUAUAGUUUUUAUAUAAUGGCCAGAAAGGGAGAGGGGGAACACUGGGGAUGUGGUCUGGGAGCCAAGGACAUGGUAACCUGAACAAGUUUGUGAACCACUGGUGUAGAGGGAUAUGGGCUAAACAUGGUAGCUUAGAUUAGCUUAGAUGAGAAUCUUGGACUAGUUGGGCUGAAGGGCCUAUUUCCAUACUAUACUGUGUAGACCUGUUUUAGUAUUGUGUGAUUGCGUGACUAAAAGGGAGCAGGUGAAUAGCUCUUACAGAGAGUUAAAUGCCGGGUCCUGUUUAAUUUAAUGUAAUGGAACUUUUUUCUGUUAUAAGUUAGAAAUAGAUUGUCAUAUAUUGCACCCAGAGGCUCAUAGACUGCUUUGGUUGUGAUAUAUGAUCUAGGGUCUGGAAUGGGUAUCAGGAAAUAUCUUCUGGCAGUACUGUCGACUGUGCAUUUUCUCAGAGUCACCAAUAAGCUCCACCUAUGUGUCCUUGUGCAGGCACGCUUUGCUCUCUCCUGGAUGGAGAGGGGGACUCCUAUUUUGAUUUUUAUUCAGAGAUACGGCAUGAUAACAGGCCCUCCUGACCCAACAAGCCUAUGCUAGCUAAUUACGCCCAUGUAACCGAUUAACCUACUAACCCGUACGUCCUUGGAACGGAACCAGAGCACCUGGAGGAAAUCCCCAUGGUCUCAAAGAAAACGUACAGACUCCUUGCAGAGACUGUUGAGAGUUAAAGCCGGAUCAUCAUUUCUGGAAUAGUGGUAUGUUAUCCACGACUCUACUGUGCUACUCCAUAAUCCCAUGGAUGAGGGAAAACAUACAGACUCCUUACAAACAGUCAACACGAGGAAAUCUGCAGAUGCUGGAAAUUCAAACAACACACACAAAAUGUUGGUGGAACACAGCAGGCCAGGCAGCAUCUAUAACUGUCCGAGACCCUUCGUCAGGACUGUCCUUACAGACAGUGACGGUAUUGGAGCCAGGUCACUGGCACUGCAUUAGCCACACUAGCUGCUACACUACUGUGCCACCACAGACUGACUUGGAGCUGUUCGAUCAUUCAGCCACCACUGGUCGCUUUGCACCUUUGGCUCUUCGGACAAGCACAUGCACUAAAUAUCGGAACCGGAGGUUCCUCUUGUACUGAGCAGGUUAACUAUUGCAACAACAACAGACUCAGUGCCAGAGAUUUGACCAUUGUGACUUUCCUCUGUUGGGUCAUUCCCCCUCCCCAGUCAUAUCUAAAGUGAUAUACCUGUUGUUGAGGGGAAUGGCCACAGGGGUACUCUGCACUAGCUCCUUAAACCCUUCCCCUUCCUUUCAAGAUUAACUUAAUUUGUCGCAUUUUCAUUGAAACAUCGAAACAUACAGUAAGCCGCAUCACUGUCCGAUAGAGCCGGAAUACGAGCUGGGGGCAGCUUGCAAGUGUUACCAGCAGAGCACGCCACGAUGUAGUAAUCGGUACGGCUUUGGGGUGUGGGAACACUGGAGCGAAGGAGAAGUGCGACCUGCUUACAGUGAGUGGCAGGAAUUGAAGGCUGGCUGUUGAAACCAGAGCACCAUCAGCUGUGGGGAAAAUGCGGAGGGAUUUGCUGCCCUGAUAAAGGGUUUCAGAGGAGGGCUGUCAGAGUUUACAGCGGGACAUCCAUAGGUUGUAGAACUGGGCUGAGAAGUGGAAGAUGGAGCUCAACCCGGAUAAGUAUGAGGUGGUUCAUCUUGGUAAGUCUAAUAUGAUGGCAGAAUAGAGUAUUGAUGGUAAGACUCUUGGCAGUGUGGAGGAUCAGAGGGAUCUUGGGGUCCGAGUCCAUAGGACGCUCAAAGCUGCUGCGCAGGUUAACUCUGUGGUUAAGAAGGCGUAUGGUGCAUUGGCCUUCAUCAAUUGUGGGAUUGAGUUUAAGAGCCGAGAGGUAAUGUUGCAGCUAUAUCGGACCCUGGUCAGACCCCACUUGGAGUACUGUGCUCAGUUCCGGUCGCCUCACUACGGGAAGGAUGAGGAAACCAUAGAAAGGGUGCAGAGGAGAUUUACAAGGAUGUUGCCUGGAUUGGGGAGCAUGCCUUAUGAGAACAGGUUGAGUGAACUCGGCCUUUUCUCCUUGGAGCGGCAGAGGAUGAGAGGUGACCUGAUAGAGGUGUACAAGAUAAUGAGAGGCAUUGAUCGUGUGGAUAAUCAGAGGCUUUUUUCCCAGGGCCGAAAUGGCUAACACAAGAAGGCACAAUUUUAAGGUGCUUAGAAGUAGCUACAGAGGAGAUGUCGGGGUAAGUUUUUUACACAAAGAGUGGUGAGUGUGAGGAAUGGGCU